This is a long non-coding RNA of Rhododendron vialii, 823 nucleotides long. RefSeq lists it as uncharacterized. Lineage: Eukaryota; Viridiplantae; Streptophyta; Magnoliopsida; Ericales; Ericaceae. The record is from RefSeq and is a predicted model, not a curated record. The transcript is spliced from 2 exons.
GUUUAGAUUUGUGCAACUCUGUACUUCUUGCCAUUAUUUCCAUGUCUUAGUUCUAAUAUUAAUAUUGUAUCACAAACCGUUAUUAAAUUAUUUCCAAUCAAUGUAACUAGUUCUAGUUUCCAGUAAUAGAGAUCUUCAUUGCAUAAGUUCACCUACUUUCUCCAGCCUUGACUUGUUCCCCUGUUUGCUAUCAUGUUUUCCCUUAUUUGCUUUGACUGCCGUUACAUCUCCUCCUAGUUAUUGUCCAAACCUCAAAUCACUUUGAAGCAAAACCAGUAGAGAUGUGAGGUAUAUUUUAUUGAAGCUUGGAUGAAUUUGUUCAUCCUUUCAGGUUCAUCAUGUUCAGCCGGUAAGUUCGUCUAAUCUCUCCAGUCUUGACUACUUUCCCUGUUUGGCUUCAUCUUUUCCCUUGUCUUGAGUGGAGUUACUGUGAACGAAAUCGCAUUGGGAAAAUGACGGCCAAUGACGUGUUUUGAUAAUUAAUACCCGCCAAGGACAUGCUGAGAACAUUUGUUAAUGCUGAAAAUGUCCUUGGCGGAUAUUAAUUAUCAAAACACGUCUUGGGCUGUCAUUUUCCCAAUUGCAUUUACCUCCUAGUCAUUGUCCCAAACCUCAAAUUACUUUGAACGAAAACCACUAUAGAUGUGAGAGCAUUGUGAUAGCUUAUUUAAACUGUUCAGCCCGAUUUUCAUUGUUUUCGACGUCCUAGCUUUAAUAGUCAAUUUCAACUAGUGUACUUGUAACAUGCAUGGUAACAUGUAUAUUUUAUAACAAAGUAUAACAUACCCACACUUCAUUCGUUUCACUUUUUCCGCUACCAAAA